UACGAAGGGGGCUAGCGUUGCUCGGAAUCACUGGGCGUAAAGGGUGCGUAGGCGGGUCUUAAGUCAGGGGUGAAAUCCUGGAGCUCAACUCCAGAACUGCCUUUGAUACUGGUGAGCUUGAGUCCGGAAGAGGUGAGUGGAACUGCGAGUGUAGAGGUGAAAUUCGUAGAUAUUCGCAAGAACACCAGUGGCGAAGGCGGCUCACUGGUCCGGUACUGACGCUGAGGUGCGAAAGCGUGGGGAGCAAACAGG
Molecule: ribosomal RNA, 252 nt
Filed under: uncultured bacterium
Lineage: Bacteria
Description: partial 16S ribosomal RNA
Rfam family: Bacterial small subunit ribosomal RNA
Source: RNAcentral